Otolemur garnettii (small-eared galago) is the source of this 465-nucleotide non-coding RNA. The record is from the annotation of a RefSeq genome assembly. Lineage: Eukaryota; Metazoa; Chordata; Mammalia; Primates; Galagidae.
AUGUUGCUCUGCAGCCUGCUGAAGGUGGUCACAGCUUCAAUGUGGCUAGGAUCUGGUAUUGCCCAGAAGGUAACUCAAAUCCAAUCAACAAUCUCAGUGCAGGAGAAGGAGGCUGUGACUCUGGGAUGCACGUAUGACACUGGUGAUACUAAUUACAAUCUAUUCUGGUACAAACAACCCAGUAGUGGGGAGAUGAUUCUCAUUAUUCGCCAGGGCUCCUAUAGCCAGAAAAAUGAAACAGAAGGUCGCUACUCACUGAAUUUCCAGAAGGCCAGCAAAUCCAUCACCCUUGCCAUCUCAGCUUCACAACUGGGGGAUUCAGCAAUGUAUUUCUGUGCACUGAGUGGCCCACAGUGGGAGGAUUGUUGGAGGCAGCUGUACAAAAACUCCAGGUGUCUGCCUGUGACAUCCACCUGCUGUCAGGACUGCAGCAGGGAAUUAUCAUCACAGACAGGAAGUGACUAG